Hipposideros armiger (great roundleaf bat) is the source of this 1770-nucleotide long non-coding RNA. RefSeq lists it as uncharacterized. The transcript is spliced from 2 exons. NCBI's taxonomy places the organism in Eukaryota, Metazoa, Chordata, Mammalia, Chiroptera, Hipposideridae. The record is from RefSeq and is a predicted model, not a curated record.
UAUGUUUGUUUGUUUCUGAAGGACUUUGCAAACACCAUUCCUGGACAUGGCGGGAUAAUGGACCGAUUUGAUUGUCAGUAUCUGAUGGCAACGUUUGUGCAUGUCUACAUCACAAGUUUUAUAAGGGGUCCAAAUCCCAGCAAAGUGUUACAGCAGUUGUUGGUGCUUCAACCAGAACAGCAGUUAAACAUAUAUAAAACCCUGAAGACGCAUCUCAUUGAGAAAGGAAUCCUACAGCCUACCUUGAAGGUAUAACUGCUUCCAGAGAGUAAAGGACUGACCUGACAAUAAGGAAUUCUACAGAAGAGCACUGACAGAUGAAAUUUUGUAAAUGUACAGAAAAGUGGUUGAAAAUGCAAUAGAUGAAAGAUUUACAGACAUGAAUGUUUCUUCUCUGAAAUUACUGUGAAUAUUUAACACUUACUUGAUCUACGUUGUGAAAUAAGUAGCAAAUUAUCUUCAAAAUAUCCUGUACUUUUUCUAAAGUGUAUUUUCUGAUGUCAACUUCCUUCCCCUUACUUGCCAUUUUCAUAAUUUAAAAGACUUGGUUUUAGAGUCCAACACUGUAAAAUGAGUAAAUUGAGGAUGUCUUAAGAUUGCACCUGGCAUUGUGCCCUUUGCACCAAUAUUUACUUUUGCACUUGGAGUGGCUCUUAAUUUUAACAAAAUGUUUUAUGGAAGGCACAGUAGGAAGUUAGUUCUCCUGCACUUCCUUCUCUUUUAGUCUGAAGUAUUUUCGGAGGGACUGAGUUGGGUCCUUCCCCCAUCCUCCACCCCCUAAAAAUAAGUAAGUAUAAUCAUUUGCCAGGAAAAAACAUUCCACUUUUAGGUAGGUUUGAAAUUCAAGCGAGGGAAGCUGAAAUUUCUACCAUUAUUGGCUUGCUAGAAAGAACAGACAUCAAACUCUACUUCUGAUAUAGCUGUCAGGAAAAAUAUAAUGUCGCAAAAACUUUUAAAAGAAGCAAAAGAGAAUUUUGCUGUGCAAAUGUAAUGUAGGCACCGUCCACAGAUUAUCUCCACAGAUGGCUCAGGAGACAGCAUAAGACGAUGACAUGUGACACAGGCCACCUCGUGGUCAAGUUCCCUGCUUUUCCUUGUUUCCCUGUGAACUGGUUUCUAUAAGUUCUAUAGCCAUGAGCACAAAGAUCAAUAUAUAGGGUAGUGAGUAGGGGUGGUGGCUGAAGCAGAGAGGGGGGUGCUCGGCUGAGCACACGUGACCCAUCUCAGGAUGAGGCUCUGCACGCUCUGCCCUGGGUGCCUCCCUCCUGUUCCCUGUGGGGACACUCAGCUGGCAGGAAGGAAGAUCUGCCUGGAGACCCAACCUAGACUAACUCCAUGGGAACAGCUCAUCUUUGUCCCAUUCCUCUUUCACAUCAUGUCAAAACGUGAGGACAUCAGCUGAUAUUUUUUUUCCAAGUAUGGAAAUCAAGCAGAAGUGAUUCCCGUCCAGAACAAAAAGCACACGAAUGCCAAACCUUUCCUCUGGUCGACUGGACACUGUAACCAGAUAAAUGUCUUAUCAGUGAAUGUACAGAAGCUACUGUUGCUGCGUGCUCUCAACAACCAUAUUUAUUGUAUUGAAGAGUCAGCAAUAAACCUUUGGAGGUUGCCUAUUGCUCCUUGCCUAAAUGUUCAGAGGGGAGAAAUAGAUAUAUUUUAAAGAAUGUUUUGCUAAUGAAAAGAGUAAAUAUUUUUGUUUAAAUCAGAAACAAAUUUCAAUUAUUUUAUAUUUCUGUUCUACUAUACCUACAAUAAAAGAUUGUAGAUAUG